GAUGAACGCUAGCUACAGGCUUAACACAUGCAAGUCGAGGGGUAACGAGAGGAAAGCUUGCUUUCCUUGUCGACGACCGGCGCACGGGUGAGUGACGCGUAUCCAACCUGCCCCCAACUAAGGAAUAACCUUGCGAAAGUAAGAUUAAUACCUUAUAAUUUCCUCAGAUGUCAUCUGACGAGGAAUAAAGAUUUAUCGGUUGUGGAUGGGGAUGCGUCUGAUUAGCUUGAUGGCGGGGUGACGGCCCACCAAGGCAACGAUCAGUAGGGGUUCUGAGAGGAAGGUCCCCCACAGUGGAACUGAGACACGGUCCAAACUCAUACGGGAGGCAGCAGUGAGGAAUAUUGGUCAAUGGGCGGAAGCCUGAACCAGCCAAGUAGCGUGCAGGAGAACGGCCCUAUGGGUUGUAAACUGCUUUUAUACAGGAAUAAAGUUAGCCACGUGUGGUUAUUUGUAGGUACUGUAUGAAUAAAGACCGGCUAAUUCCGUGCCAGCCGCCGCAGUAA
RNAcentral lists this ribosomal RNA (506 nucleotides) under uncultured bacterium. Its description in RNAcentral is "partial 16S ribosomal RNA". It matches the Rfam family "Bacterial small subunit ribosomal RNA", at positions 28 to 523 of the family's 1533-position model. The record is from RNAcentral.